This 371-nucleotide ribosomal RNA is filed under the name Goniobranchus splendidus. RNAcentral's name for it is "partial 16S ribosomal RNA". It matches the Rfam family "Bacterial large subunit ribosomal RNA", at positions 1957 to 2597 of the family's 2925-position model. The record is from RNAcentral. Lineage: Eukaryota; Metazoa; Mollusca; Gastropoda; Nudibranchia; Chromodorididae.
UAGCGCAAUCAAUUGGCUCUUAAAUGGGGUCAGGAAUGAAUGGAGUUUAACGUGGUUAAGCUGUCUCUUAACUAGUUAAUUGAAGUUACUAUGUAGGUGAAAAAGCCUAUUGUAAGAAAAAGGACGAGAAGACCCUUAGAGUUUUACUUAAUGUGGGAGAUACUAAAGUAUCCAUACUGGUUUUGUUGGGGCAACAUAGGAGCAAUAGUUAUAAUCUCCUAAACUAUAAUGGACCGAAAUUUAUAAAUGUGAAUAAACUACCUUAGGGAUAACAGCAUAAUUUUAAAAAUAAGUUUGUGACCUCGAUGUUGGACUAGGAAACUUAAAGGCUAGCCGUCUUUAAGGAAAGUUCUGUUCGAACUAUUAUUCCU